UAGGGAAUCUUCCACAAUGGGCGAAAGCCUGAUGGAGCAACGCCGCGUGUGUGAUGAAGGCUUUCGGGUCGUAAAGCACUGUUGUAUGGGAAGAACAGCUAGAAUAGGAAAUGAUUUUAGUUUGACGGUACCAUACCAGAAAGGGACGGCUAAAUACGUGCCAA
RNAcentral lists this ribosomal RNA (164 nucleotides) under uncultured bacterium. RNAcentral's name for it is "partial 16S ribosomal RNA". It matches the Rfam family "Bacterial small subunit ribosomal RNA", at positions 355 to 511 of the family's 1533-position model. The record is from RNAcentral.